Molecule: ribosomal RNA, 683 nt
Filed under: Klebsiella planticola
Lineage: Bacteria; Pseudomonadati; Pseudomonadota; Gammaproteobacteria; Enterobacterales; Enterobacteriaceae
Description: Raoultella planticola partial 23S ribosomal RNA
Rfam family: Bacterial large subunit ribosomal RNA
Source: RNAcentral
UGGUGGGUAGUUUGACUGGGGCGGUCUCCUCCCAAAGAGUAACGGAGGAGCACGAAGGUUAGCUAAUCCUGGUCGGACAUCAGGAGGUUAGUGCAAUGGCAUAAGCUAGCUUGACUGCGAGCGUGACGGCGCGAGCAGGUGCGAAAGCAGGUCAUAGUGAUCCGGUGGUUCUGAAUGGAAGGGCCAUCGCUCAACGGAUAAAAGGUACUCCGGGGAUAACAGGCUGAUACCGCCCAAGAGUUCAUAUCGACGGCGGUGUUUGGCACCUCGAUGUCGGCUCAUCACAUCCUGGGGCUGAAGUAGGUCCCAAGGGUAUGGCUGUUCGCCAUUUAAAGUGGUACGCGAGCUGGGUUUAGAACGUCGUGAGACAGUUCGGUCCCUAUCUGCCGUGGGCGCUGGAGAAUUGAGGGGGGCUGCUCCUAGUACGAGAGGACCGGAGUGGACGCAUCACUGGUGUUCGGGUUGUCAUGCCAAUGGCAUUGCCCGGUAGCUAAAUGCGGAAAAGAUAAGUGCUGAAAGCAUCUAAGCACGAAACUUGCCCCGAGAUGAGUUCUCCCUGACUCCUUGAGAGUCCUGAAGGAACGUUGAAGACUACGACGUUGAUAGGUCGGGUGUGUAAGCGUAGCGAUACGUUGAGCUAACCGAUACUAAUGAACCGUGAGGCUUAACCUUACAACGCCGAA